GGGCCGGACUGAUGAUGAGGACAGGAAGACAAUAGAGUGGCAGCAGCGAUGGUCCUUAACAGGCAGGAGAGGGGACUUGAAGACCACACAGCAAGUUCCUGGCUGAGCUGGAACCAGAGCCCAAGGACGUGCCAGCACCCAGCUCUACCUACGAGCCUUCCACUUGGCCGGACUGCAGAAACUGGAAAGCAGACCACUGGGGCUUGCCUGGGUCCCUGCCUCGCUCUGUGAUAUUGGGGAGUAGCCAAGCGGUCCAUCUCUCCACCUGGAAAGCUGAGUGAAUCCCAGGGGUGUAUUCACCCAGCAAUUUGUGGCCACAGGGCUAGGGAGCGGUGGUUGCCAGGGGCCCUCAAGAAUGCCAGCGCAAGGACGAAGGGCACCAGUCGCUCCCCUCCGCCCUUGGCUAGCCACCAUCUCUCUCCAGCCACCACCCCACAACCCCCGCGCACCGUUCGCUCCGUGGCUCCGGUUCUUCGAUCCGGCCUCCAGGUCUUCGCUGACGCCUCGUCACUCGGGAGACGCGGCGAGCGGCUUGCCGUUGCCUUGGGAACCUCGCAGCAGCCCAGGCGCGCGGAGCACGACUCGGAGCGCAGGGCACUCGGCCUGCCCUGCUCGCAGAGUGGUCUUUGGUGUCUCAGAAAGAUAUCUGUCGCCAGCGGCGAAGGGAGGCCGCGUCGCAAGGUUUUGUCCUUCAGGCAAGCUCCUACUCAUCCUGCAAAACCCACUGGGGCAUCGUCUGAAGCCUUCCUAAUUGAAAUCCUCCUCUCCACUCUCUGCCAACCCAGGGUAACUACUCCCAUCUGUGCUAUAUUUAAUGCAUGCACAGACACCACCUCCCACAGUGCCCCAAGGGCUCCUCGAGGCUGCCUCUAGGUUCAACCUGUAAGGCACCGGCACACAGCUGGUAUUCUACAAAUGUGCUUGGAUCUGACAGUGGAGGAGAGGGUUGGCACGUUGGUUUCCUGCUGUGCAAAAACUGGACUACACUUGCCCUGCUGCAUGUCCCUCAAAAGAUAAUGGGGAGGGGGGUGCUUCCCGAACACCUGGGGCAGAACCGCAGGAAGAGAAUGGCUGCCCUCAGCCCAGGUUAGGGAAUGGACUUGACCGUGCCCCCGGAGUGGGACCUCGGGCUGCCUGGGAAGAGUUCUUUCCUUCCACAAGGGAGCAUCCACUCGUGUAUGCGUGUAAGGAAGCCACAGCGGCCCCUACUGACCUGCAGGGAGUCCCAGGAGCAGGGACCUAUAGCUCCCCAUUCUUUCCAGGGCCC
Long non-coding RNA from Ailuropoda melanoleuca (giant panda), 1267 nucleotides. RefSeq lists it as uncharacterized. Lineage: Eukaryota; Metazoa; Chordata; Mammalia; Carnivora; Ursidae. The transcript has 3 exons. The record is from RefSeq and is a predicted model, not a curated record.